AACGACUCUCGGCAACGGAUAUCUCGGCUCUCGCAUCGAUGAAGAACGCAGCGAAAUGCGAUACUUGGUGUGAAUUGCAGGAUCCCGCGAACCAUCGAGUUUUUGAACGCAAGUUGCGCCCGAAGCCUUCUGGCCGAGGGCACGUCUGCCUGGGUGUCACUC
This 162-nucleotide ribosomal RNA is filed under the name Euphorbia scordiifolia. Its description in RNAcentral is "5.8S ribosomal RNA". It matches the Rfam family "5.8S ribosomal RNA". Rfam says of the family: 5.8S ribosomal RNA (5.8S rRNA) is a component of the large subunit of the eukaryotic ribosome. It is transcribed by RNA polymerase I as part of the 45S precursor that also contains 18S and 28S rRNA. The record is from RNAcentral. Lineage: Eukaryota; Viridiplantae; Streptophyta; Magnoliopsida; Malpighiales; Euphorbiaceae.